CAAGAAGGGAGCUUGAUCCAGGCUGUAUCCGCGGUCGGGGGAGUAACACGUGGGUAACCUGCGUAUUAGACUGGGAUAAGUCCGGGAAACUGGAGAUAAUACCGGAUAGUUCCUUGAACUCCAUGGUUCAAAGACGAAGGACGGUUUCGCCUGUCACUUAUCAGAUGGACCCGCGGCGCAUUAGCUAGUUGGUGGGGUAAUGGCUCACCAAGGCGACGAUGCGUAGCCGACCUGAGAGGGUGAUCGGCCACACUGGGACUGAGACACGGCCCAGACUCCUACGGGAGGCAGCAGUAGGGAAUCUUCCGCAAUGGACGAAAGUCUGACGGAGCAACGCCGCGUGAGUGAUGAAGGUUUUCGGAUCGUAAAGCUCUGUUGUUAGGGAAGAACAAGUGCGAGAGUAACUGCUCGCACCUUGACGGUACCUAACCAGAAAGCCACGGCUAACUACGUGCCAGCAGCCGCGGUAAUACGUAGGUGGCAAGCGUUGUCCGGAAUUAUUGGGCGUAAAGGGCUCGCAGGCGGUUUCUUAAGUCUGAUGUGAAAGCCCCCGGCUCAACCGGGGAGGGUCAUUGGAAACUGGGAAACUUGAGUGCAGAAGAGGAGAGUGGAAUUCCACGUGUAGCGGUGAAAUGCGUAGAGAUGUGGAGGAACACCAGUGGCGAAGGCGACUCUCUGGUCUGUAACUGACGCUGAGGAGCGAAAGCGUGGGGAGCGAACAGGAUUAGAUACCCUGGUAGUCCACGCCGUAAACGAUGAGUGCUAAGUGUUAGGGGGUUUCCGCCCCUUAGUGCUGCAGCUAACGCAUUAAGCACUCCGCCUGGGGAGUACGGUCGCAAGACUGAAACUCAAAGGAAUUGACGGGGGCCCGCACAAGCGGUGGAGCAUGUGGUUUAAUUCGAAGCAACGCGAAGAACCUUACCAGGUCUUGACAUCCUCUGACAACCCUAGAGAUAGGGCUUUCCCUUCGGGGACAGAGUGACAGGUGGUGCAUGGUUGUCGUCAGCUCGUGUCGUGAGAUGUUGGGUUAAGUCCCGCAACGAGCGCAACCCUUGAUCUUAGUUGCCAGCAUUUAGUUGGGCACUCUAAGGUGACUGCCGGUGACAAACCGGAGGAAAGUGGGGAUGACGUCAAAUCAUCAUGCCCCUUAUGACCUGGGCUACACACGUGCUACAAUGGACAGAACAAAAGGCUGCGAGACCCCAAGGUUUAGCCCAUCCCUAAAUCUCGUCUCAGUUCCGAACCCAGUCUGCAACUCGACUGCGUGAAACUGGAAUCCCUAUAAUCCCCGAAUCACAUGCCGCCGGGAAAAAAUUCCCCGGGCUUGUAACACCC
This 1335-nucleotide ribosomal RNA is filed under the name Bacillus pumilus. Its description in RNAcentral is "bacterial SSU rRNA". It matches the Rfam family "Bacterial small subunit ribosomal RNA", at positions 69 to 1390 of the family's 1533-position model. The record is from RNAcentral. Lineage: Bacteria; Bacillati; Bacillota; Bacilli; Caryophanales; Bacillaceae.